CCUACGGGAGGCAGCAGUGGGGAAUCUUGCGCAAUGGGCGAAAGCCUGACGCAGCCAUGCCGCGUGAAUGAUGAAGGUCUUAGGAUUGUAAAAUUCUUUCACCGGGGACGAUAAUGACGGUACCCGGAGAAGAAGCCCCGGCUAACUUCGUGCCAGCAGCCGCGGUAAUACGAAGGGGGCUAGCGUUGCUCGGAAUUACUGGGCGUAAAGGGAGCGUAGGCGGAUAGUUUAGUCAGAGGUGAAAGCCCAGGGCUCAACCUUGGAAUUGCCUUUGAUACUGGCUAUCUUGAGUGUGGGAGAGGUAUGUGGAACUCCGAGUGUAGAGGUGAAAUUCGUAGAUAUUCGGAAGAACACCAGUGGCGAAGGCGACAUACUGGCCCAUUACUGACGCUGAGGCUCGAAAGCGUGGGGAGCAAACAGGAUUAGAUACCCUGGUAGUCCACGCUGUAAACGAUGAGUGCUAGUUGUCGGCAGGCAUGCCUGUCGGUGACGCAGCUAACGCAUUAAGCACUCCGCCUGGGGAGUACGGUCGCAAGNUUAAAACUCAAAGGAAUUGACGG
RNAcentral lists this ribosomal RNA (560 nucleotides) under uncultured bacterium. RNAcentral's name for it is "bacterial SSU rRNA". It matches the Rfam family "Bacterial small subunit ribosomal RNA", at positions 338 to 916 of the family's 1533-position model. The record is from RNAcentral.